UACGGAGGGUGCAAGCGUUAUCCGGAUUCACUGGGUUUAAAGGGAUCGUAGGUGGGUUGGUAAGUCAGUGGUGAAAUCCCCGAGCUUAACUUGGGAACUGCCAUUGAUACUAUCAGUCUUGAAUACUGUGGAGGUUAGCGGAAUAUGUCAUGUAGCGGUGAAAUGCUUAGAUAUGACAUAGAGCACCAAUUGCGAAGGCAGCUGGCUACACAAUUAUUGACACUGAGGCUCGAAAGCGUGGGGAUCAAACAGG
RNAcentral lists this ribosomal RNA (253 nucleotides) under uncultured bacterium. RNAcentral's name for it is "partial 16S ribosomal RNA". It matches the Rfam family "Bacterial small subunit ribosomal RNA", at positions 524 to 776 of the family's 1533-position model. The record is from RNAcentral.